Molecule: long non-coding RNA, 593 nt
Organism: Cyanistes caeruleus (blue tit)
Lineage: Eukaryota; Metazoa; Chordata; Aves; Passeriformes; Paridae
Source: RefSeq, a predicted model, not a curated record
UGUCAAAGGCUAAACCCGACAUAAGGGGCAGAGGUGGACGCCGCUGGUGUUCGCCCCUCUUCCUCCUGCUCCUCUGCUUCAGGUGUUGAGAGAAAUGUGCCUUUGCCGUCGCAAAGUGGUGUCAUCUCAGCCCCGUCGCUAUGGCCCCGCUGCCGGGCACAGAGGUUUGGGGACGGUCCCGUGUCCUGGGGUGCCGCCCUACCGCCGGCAUCUUCCCUGGAUGAGGAGGAGAGCAUGAGAAAAAUCAGCAUUGAUGGUGUGGGUAAAAGCUGCUUUCUCAGCACCCACUGAAGUCUUCAACUCAUAACUUCACUGGGAAAUAAAUGGGGCUUGGAAUUGCCCAGGGGUGAUCCUUUGAGCUCUAAGCUCUUAAGGAAGAAGUGCCCCAGGAUCUGCCAAGGUGAACAUCAGCAGAGGAAGCCAGUGAUGGGUGGACACCUACCAGAUUUGAGCAAUGCACUCAAAUGCCUUGAGAAGAGCUUCAUCAAACAUGGUACAGAGACUAGCCUCCAGUAGCAGCUAAGUAUAAAUACAUGUGAACUACACAAUAUGUAUUCAAAUACUAGGAUAAUAUAUAAAACCUCUGUUCUCCA